CCAAUAGCGUAUAUUAAAGUUGUUGCAGUUAAAAAGCUCGUAGUUGAACUUCGGGUUCUACCCAUUGGUCAGGCUUAAUUGUCUGCACUGGUGGGAUGGAUCUCUACCUUCUGAGGAACUUUCAUGCCAUUUAUUUGGUGUGGUUGGAAAUCAGGACUGUUACUUUGAAAAAAUUAGAGUGUUUAAAGCAGACUAUCGUCUGAAUACAUUAGCAUGGAAUAAUGAAAUAGGACGGACUGAUUCUAUUUCGUUGGUUUCUAUGAUCACCGUAAUGAUUAAUAGGGAUAGUUGGGGGCAUUAGUAUUCAAUUGUCAGAGGUGAAAUUCUUGGAUUUAUUGAAGACUAACUACUGCGAAAGCAUUUGCCAAGGAUGUUUUCAUUAAUCAAGAACGAAAGUUAGGGGAUCGAAGACGAUCAGAUACCGUCGUAGUCUUAACCAUAAACUAUGCCGACUAGGGAUCGGACGAAGUUAAUUUUAUAAUGACGCGUUCGGCACCUUACG
This 502-nucleotide unclassified non-coding RNA is filed under the name uncultured Diversispora. Its description in RNAcentral is "SSU rRNA". It matches the Rfam family "Eukaryotic small subunit ribosomal RNA", at positions 591 to 1092 of the family's 1831-position model. The record is from RNAcentral. Lineage: Eukaryota; Fungi; Glomeromycota; Glomeromycetes; Diversisporales; Diversisporaceae.